This is a non-coding RNA of Castor canadensis (American beaver), 2517 nucleotides long. Lineage: Eukaryota; Metazoa; Chordata; Mammalia; Rodentia; Castoridae. The record is from RefSeq and is a predicted model, not a curated record.
UUAACUUACCUUUGUUUUUUUUCAUGUACUACAUGCAUUUUGCCUGUUAUGCAAGUAUUGCUGUUAUUUUACUGUUACCAUAAUCCAUCUAUUGUUCUUCUUUACUAAUCUGUUGUUUUCCUUGGAGUUCUGUCUUUGAACUGUUUUGUUUCAUUUUUGCAGUGCUGUGGAAAUAAACCCAGGCCACACAUGCUAGGCAAGAGAGAUCUACAACUGAACUUUUUUUUUAAUUAACUGUUCUCUGUGUCCCUUGCUUUUUUUUUUUGCCCCCCUCCCUCUAGUUUUCCUUUUUUGCUAGAUAAAGGAUACAGUGAGUAGCUUCAAUCAUAAUUCUGAAAAUUCCUCCAUGGCUGAAUGCCUUGUAUUUUACUUCUAGAAUUGCUUUGUCUGGCAUAUACUACUAGGUUUAUAAUUAGGAUUUUGAAGACAAUGUCUUCUAGCUUCUAGGGGCUUUUGAAAUUUCAAAUGUCAGUCUGCUGUGUACAUCCUUGGAACAGAAAAAUUAGAAUAUCCUUGAACAGUGUUGUCAAACCCUUCACAUUUGAAUUGGGCAAGUGAAUUGCUUAAGGAUAAGCAGGAAAAAUUGUUGAGUCCUGUGAAAGAGGUAUACAGUAUGGGAGCUCAGAAUGAACAUACUGUGUUCAGCCAAAGAAAUCAGGAUAGACAAUGUGAAGUUACGUAUUUCAGCGGGGUGUAAAGAAUGCAGAAAGGAGAGGGCAUUCUAGGUAGAGGGUACUGUAAAGGAGGAGAAGUGUAGAGCAUCUAUGGGGAACAGGUGAUGACUUGGUAGGUGAUAGAGUGUAGUUGGAUAUAAAGUUAGGAAGCCAAGUUUAGGUCAAUUUAAAGAGAUUUGAGUGGUUUAAUGAUGAAGAUAAUGAUAAUGACAAUGACAGCUGACAUUUCUUGAACAUUUACUAAUGCAAGUCACUGUUCAGAAUGCCGUAUGUGAAUUAACUCAUAUCACAGUUAGCACCCUAUAAUAUCAGUGCUGUUAUUUCUCUUUUACGGUUGAAGAAGCUGUGAAUGUCAAAUAAGUUGUCCUAGGUCACAUAGCUAGAACAUGGUAGAACCAGAAAUUAUAUUCAGUCUGGCUCUAGAUCCUGUAUUGUUAACCCUGUGCUAUAGUGCAUUUAGUCUGUAGCUGUUGGGGGGUCAGAAAGUUUUCCUUUUUCUUUCGUUGUAAUCCAGGGAGUGGCUGAUCAGAGCUGUGUUGUAUGGAGGUUAAACUCUUAGUGAUGUCUAGCUAAGCUAGAUUUGGGGAGGGAAAUUGUACUUGGUGCUUCUCGUAGUCAUUAACAGAAAGGAUAGAAAGGUUUCAGACAGUCUGUCUAAAAGGAACAGAUCACUCUAAAGUAAGGUGAGAUCAUUUCAGCCGACUCCAAAAUUAGUGUCAAAUAUCACAGUCAGUUUCUGUAAAUGGGCCAAAUGACAGGCAAAAAGAGAACCAAAAUAGCAGAUUUUUGUUCUGUUUGAAAAUUUUUCAAAAGAUUUUGAUGUGUUAUUAGCCAUAAUUGUUUUUGUGCUUUGCUUCAUUUGAAAUGAUUGUUAGAGUUUUAACUCAGAAUUUUUGUUUUAUGAACUCAUAUGCUAAAAGAAUGGAAAUGGAGUCACUGUGAAUAUUUCAUUAGAAAUUACUGGUUUUGGCCUCAUUGAAUUUCAGCUGCAUAAUAUGUCAUUUCUAAUUCUUUGACAUUCAGUUCAGGCAUAGUUCACAUGUGAAAUUGAAGAUGUCUUUUAAAUGCUUUGCAUUUUGGUUACUGCUGCCAUGCAGACUGCAGGCGCACAUUCCAGGGAGUUCAUAUAUGGUUUGGAAAACUUUGUCUACAAGGACAUCAAGCCUGAUAAGACAAAAAGGAUACAUUUUUGGAAAAAUUGGCAAUUCAAGUAAUAAAAAAUGUACAAGUAAAAGACAUUCAUAUUAAAUAUGAAGAUGAUGUUUUUUAGAUUGCAGCCUUGAUUGCACUUUUGUUAAAAGAACUGGUAGUAUUCACAGCCUUAAAAGCUCAAGUGGUGUGCGUUUAGUUGAAUGUUCCAACAGAGCUCAGUUUCUUCUACUUGUGGCUGUUGAAGCAGGCAGACCCCUGGUAUGAUGCUCUCUGUUGCUGAAAGAAACUCCUUUGUUGCUAUCUCAGGGUACUGAACCAUGGCUGCAAUUAGAAACCACCUGGGGAAUGUUCCUUCACAAAAUGCUGAAACCUGGAACCCUGGAGAUGGGAUUUAAGUGCUAUGUACUGGGGCUUUGGCAUUUGUGGGGUUUUUUGUUUCCCUUUCAAAGCCUAGUGAUGAUUCUUAUGCACAGCAAAGAUUAAACAACACUAAGCUGUGGUAUUCAUUGUAGUAGAUCUGUCCUUCAGUUUCAAUUUGCAAAUUCAAGAGCUCGAAUGUGUGCAUUCCUGUGUGGCUUGUGACAAAAUGUUAACAUUUUCCCCAUGCUUACUCUUUACAUUCACUAAUCAAACCUGUUUUCUCUACUACCGAAUUUAAUAUUUUCUUUUACUUCUCUUUGGGAUUGUUUCA